AUCUCCACCAGCAGCUGCACUUUCAGGCUGGCUGUCAUUGAGAGAGCUGAGCUGGAGAGACUGGCUGUCACUGAGAGAGCUGGACAGAGCUUGGCUGUCACUGAGAGAGCUGGAGAGGCUGGCUGUCACUGAGAGAGCUGGAGAGGCUGGCUGUCACUGAGAGAGCUGGACAGAGCUUGGCUGUCACUGAGAGAGCUGGAGAGGCUGGCUGUCAGUGAGAGAGCUGGAGAGACUGGCUGUCACUGAGAGAGCUGGACAGAGCUUGGCUGUCACUGAGAGAGCUGGAGAGGCUGGCUGUCACUGAGAGAGCUGGACAGAGCUUGGCUGUCACUGAGAGAGCUGGAGAGGCUGGCUGUCACUGAGAGAGCUGGAGAGGCUGGCUGUCACUGAGAGGGAGGAGGCUGGAGGCUGGCUGUCACUGAGGGAAGCUGGAGGAGGGCUGGCUGUCACUGGGAGGCUGGACAGGCUUGGCUGUGCUGGGAGCUGGAGGCUGUGGCUGUCGGUGGGGAGCUGGGAGACUUGGCUGUCACUUUCGAGAGGCUGGACGGGGCUUGAGAAGCUUGUCACGCUGAGGAGCUGGACAGGCUUGUGCUGGAGAGCUGGAGGCUGACAUCACUGGGAGGCUGGACAGGCUUGGCUGUCACUGAGAGGCUGGAGGCUGGCUGUCAGGUGAGAGCUGGAGAACUGGCUGUCACUGGGGAGGCUGGACAGGCUUGGCUGUCACUGGGGAGGCUGGACAGGCUUGGCUGUCACUGGGGAGGGAGCUGGAGGAUCUGGCUGUCACUGAGGCUGGAGAGACUGGCUGUCACUGAGAGAGCUGGACAGAGCUUGGCUGUCACUGAGAGAGCUGGAGAGGCUGGCUGUCACUGAGAGAGCUGGACAGAGCUUGGCUGUCACCGAGAGAGCUGGAGAGGCUGGCUGUCAGUGAGAGAGCUGGACAGAGCUUGGCUGUCACUGAGAGAACUGGAGAGACUGGCUGUCACUGAGAGAGCUGAACAGAGCUUGGCUGUCACUGAGAGAGCUGGAGAGACUGGCUGUCACUGAGAGAGCUGGACAGAGCUUGGCUUUCACUGAGAGAGCUGGAGAGGCUGGCUGUCAGUGAGAGAGCUGGAGAGACUGGCUUUCACUGAGAGAGCUGGAGAGGCUGGCUCUCAGUGAGAGAGCUGGAGAGGCUGGCUGUCAGUGAGAGAGCUGCAUAGAUCCUGGCUGUCAGUGAGAGAGCUGGAGAGGCUGGCUGUCAGUGAGAGAGCUGCAUAGAUCCUGGCUGUCAGUGAGAGAGCUGGAGAUAAGCUGCCUUCCAGGGCUGAGUUGCAGCAUCCCCCCACCUGGGCACAGCAUGCUACAGUGGCACACAGGGCAGUGGAUAUAAGGACAUAAGGCUUGCAGGACUGCCAGGUAAGAACC
RNAcentral lists this long non-coding RNA (1404 nucleotides) under Pelobates cultripes (western spadefoot toad). Lineage: Eukaryota; Metazoa; Chordata; Amphibia; Anura; Pelobatidae. The record is from RNAcentral.